GACGAACGCUGGCGGCGUGCUUAACACAUGCAAGUCGAACGAUGAAGCUAGAGCUUGCUCUGGUGAAUUAGUGGCGAACGGGUGAGUAACACGUGAGUAACCUGCCCCGAACUCUGGGAUAACUGCUGGAAACGGUAGCUAAUACUGGAUACGACCUACGAUGGCAUCUUCUGUAGGUGGAAAGAAUUUCGGUUCGGGAUGGACUCGCGGCCUAUCAGCUUGUUGGUGAGGUAAUGGCUCAACAAGGCGAAGACGGGUAGCCGGCCUGAGAGGGUGACCGGCCACACUGGGCCUGAGAAACGGCCCAGACUCCUGCGGGAGGCAGCAGUGGGGAAUAUUGCACAAGUGGCGCAAGCCUGAUGCAGCAACGCCGCGUGAGGGAUGACGGCCGUCGUGUUGUAAACCUCUUUUAGUAGGGAAGAAGCGAGAGUGACGGUACCUGCAGAAAAAGCACCGGCUAACUACGUGCCAGCAGCCGCAGUAA
Molecule: ribosomal RNA, 484 nt
Filed under: uncultured bacterium
Lineage: Bacteria
Description: partial 16S ribosomal RNA
Rfam family: Bacterial small subunit ribosomal RNA
Source: RNAcentral